AUUGAACGCUGGCGGCAUGCCUUACACAUGCAAGUCGAACGGCAGCAUGGAAGAGCUUGCUCUUCUGAUGGCGAGUGGCGAACGGGUGAGUAAAGCAUCGGAACGUACCGUGUAGUGGGGGAUAACGUAGCGAAAGUUACGCUAAUACCGCAUACGCACUGAGGUGGAAAGCAGGGGAUCGCAAGACCUUGCGCUAUACGAGCGGCCGAUGUCAGAUUAGCUAGUUGGUAGGGUAAAGGCCUACCAAGGCGACGAUCUGCAGCGGGUCUGAGAGGAUGAUCCGCCACACUGGAACUGAGACACGGUCCAGACUCCUACGGGAGGCAGCAGUGGGGAAUUUUGGACAAUGGGGGCAACCCUGAUCCAGCCAUGCCGCGUGAGUGAAGAAGGCCUUCGGGUUGUAAAGCUCCUUCGGCCGGGAAGAAAUCGUAUGGGCUAAUACCCUGUGCGGAUGACGGUACCGGCAUAAGAAGCACCGGCUAACUACGUGCCAGCCGCCGCAGUAA
Molecule: ribosomal RNA, 506 nt
Filed under: uncultured bacterium
Lineage: Bacteria
Description: partial 16S ribosomal RNA
Rfam family: Bacterial small subunit ribosomal RNA
Source: RNAcentral